Molecule: ribosomal RNA, 1524 nt
Filed under: Salmonella enterica subsp. enterica
Lineage: Bacteria; Pseudomonadati; Pseudomonadota; Gammaproteobacteria; Enterobacterales; Enterobacteriaceae
Description: partial 23S ribosomal RNA
Rfam family: Bacterial large subunit ribosomal RNA
Source: RNAcentral
AGACCCGAAACCCGGUGAUCUAGCCAUGGGCAGGUUGAAGGUUGGGUAACACUAACUGGAGGACCGAACCGACUAAUGUUGAAAAAUUAGCGGAUGACCUGUGGCUGGGGGUGAAAGGCCAAUCAAACCGGGAGAUAGCUGGUUCUCCCCGAAAGCUAUUUAGGUAGCGCCUCGUGAAUUCAUCUCCGGGGGUAGAGCACUGUUUCGGCUAGGGGGCCAUCCCGGCUUACCAACCCGAUGCAAACUGCGAAUACCGGAGAAUGUUAUCACGGGAGACACACGGCGGGUGCUAACGUCCGUCGUGAAGAGGGAAACAACCCAGACCGCCAGCUAAGGUCCCAAAGUCAUGGUUAAGUGGGAAACGAUGUGGGAAGGCCCAGACAGCCAGGAUGUUGGCUUAGAAGCAGCCAUCAUUUAAAGAAAGCGUAAUAGCUCACUGGUCGAGUCGGCCUGCGCGGAAGAUGUAACGGGGCUAAACCAUGCACCGAAGCUGCGGCAGCGACGCUUAUGCGUUGUUGGGUAGGGGAGCGUUCUGUAAGCCGUUGAAGGUGGCCUGUGAGGGUUGCUGGAGGUAUCAGAAGUGCGAAUGCUGACAUAAGUAACGAUAAAGCGGGUGAAAAGCCCGCUCGCCGGAAGACCAAGGGUUCCUGUCCAACGUUAAUCGGGGCAGGGUGAGUCGACCCCUAAGGCGAGGCCGAAAGGCGUAGUCGAUGGGAAACGGGUUAAUAUUCCCGUACUUGGUGUUACUGCGAAGGGGGGACGGAGAAGGCUAUGUUGGCCGGGCGACGGUUGUCCCGGUUUAAGCGUGUAGGUGUGUGUUCAAGGUAAAUCCGGUUCACUUUAACACUGAGGCGUGAUGACGAGGCACUACGGUGCUGAAGUAACAAAUGCCCUGCUUCCAGGAAAAGCCUCUAAGCAUCAGGUAACAUCAAAUCGUACCCCAAACCGACACAGGUGGUCAGGUAGAGAAUACCAAGGCGCUUGAGAGAACUCGGGUGAAGGAACUAGGCAAAAUGGUGCCGUAACUUCGGGAGAAGGCACGCUGAUAUGUAGGUGAAGCGGUUUACCCGUGGAGCUGAAAUCAGUCGAAGAUACCAGCUGGCUGCAACUGUUUAUUAAAAACACAGCACUGUGCAAACACGAAAGUGGACGUAUACGGUGUGACGCCUGCCCGGUGCCGGAAGGUUAAUUGAUGGGGUCAGCGCAAGCGAAGCUCCUGAUCGAAGCCCCGGUAAACGGCGGCCGUAACUAUAACGGUCCUAAGGUAGCGAAAUUCCUUGUCGGGUAAGUUCCGACCUGCACGAAUGGCGUAAUGAUGGCCAGGCUGUCUCCACCCGAGACUCAGUGAAAUUGAACUCGCUGUGAAGAUGCAGUGUACCCGCGGCAAGACGGAAAGACCCCGUGAACCUUUACUAUAGCUUGACACUGAACAUUGAGCCUUGAUGUGUAGGAUAGGUGGGAGGCUUUGAAGUGUGGACGCCAGUCUGCAUGGAGCCGACCUUGAAAUACCACCCUUUAAUGUUU